UGCACGCAGAGUGCGUGGGCGUCCACGUGCGUCCGGGAAGUGAUUUGGCGACUCACUGCUUUCAACAGUACGAACGGUGCAAUAAGGAGGUCCUCCUGUGUUUCUUAUAAUUACGGAUUUUUCAUAACCCUUGAGUGACGUUGGCGAGUCUACGGACACGUGGCGGGUUCGAUGAAGGCAAGGAGGCAGGGAAGUGUCUGAAGGAGGCUGACGAGUGGGACGCAUGAGACAAACAACACCACGUGACGUGAAAUAAAAACAUUAAACAGCACGUGAAGCUCAGCCCUGACCGCGUAGGGUUUUGUAGUUUCGCGUUUGCGGUCGUUAGUCGCUGUGCUGUCAUGUGUACUUUCAGUUCGGACUUCGCGCAACUUUUCUCUUCGCCUCCGAACCAAGAAGAGGAUCGAGGAGGAACCGGGAACGCGGACAGCCACAGCGUCAAAAGAAAGAGAGAAUCUGAAGAGAAAGAGGUGAGAAAUAAGUCCAGGAAGAGUGUCGGGAGUGAUAAGCAGCAGCACUCUGAGGGGAACCAGAGAGACAGAUGCACACCCAGGAGGGGUCACACGCAGCAGCAAAUAGCACACCACAGUGGCUGCGCUGUGCAGAGGGUUCGGAACCAGGGACCCGGAGCUGUUGCCCCAGUAGGGCAUGGUCCACACCGCGGUAAAGAGCCUGCAAUGAAAGGUCUGCAGAAACAAGCGUGAGACUGAGAAUGUGAUGCAAACUGUGUGUUGGACAAAACUGUUGCUGUCAACAAUAAUGCCUAAAUUGCCCCCCCCCCCCCCCCCCCCCCCCCCAUUUUUUCACUGUGGUCAUAUAUGUGAUGUGUUUUUAUAAUGUAUAGCAAAAAUGUUAAUUU
This 859-nucleotide long non-coding RNA is filed under the name Scleropages formosus (Asian bonytongue). Its description in RNAcentral is "lncRNA (ENSSFOG00015032607.1)". Lineage: Eukaryota; Metazoa; Chordata; Actinopteri; Osteoglossiformes; Osteoglossidae. The record is from RNAcentral.